Molecule: ribosomal RNA, 442 nt
Filed under: uncultured bacterium
Lineage: Bacteria
Description: partial 16S ribosomal RNA
Rfam family: Bacterial small subunit ribosomal RNA
Source: RNAcentral
CCUACGGGGGGCAGCAGUGGGGAAUAUUGGGCAAUGGGCGCAAGCCUGACCCAGCAACGCCGCGUGAAGGAAGAAGGCUUUCGGGUUGUAAACUUCUUUUAAGAGGGAAGAGCAGAAGACGGUACCUCUUGAAUAAGCCACGGCUAACUACGUGCCAGCAGCCGCGGUAAUACGUAGGUGGCAAGCGUUGUCCGGAUUUACUGGGUGUAAAGGGCGUGCAGCCGGGAAGGCAAGUCUGAUGUGAAAGCCCGCGGCUCAACCGCGGAACUGCAUUUGAAACUGUUUUUCUUGAGUGCCGGAGAGGUAAUCGGAAUUCCUGGUGUAGCGGUGAAAUGCGUAGAUAUAAGGAAGAACACCAGUGGCGAAGGCGGAUGACUGGACGGCAACUGACGGUGAGGCGCGAAAGCGUGGGGAGCAAACAGGAUUAGAUACCCCAGUAGUC